Molecule: long non-coding RNA, 610 nt
Organism: Vidua macroura (Pin-tailed whydah)
Lineage: Eukaryota; Metazoa; Chordata; Aves; Passeriformes; Viduidae
Exons: 3
Source: RefSeq, a predicted model, not a curated record
GGCCGCAAGAGGCGGCGCGGAGCGCGGGCACGGGACGGGACGGGCCGGGGGAGGAGCAGCGGCAGCGGCCGCGGCGGCACCCAGCCACCCUUCAUCAGCCACCCACCCGUCCAGCCAUCCAUCUGUCCGUCCAUCCUUCUCUCCGCCCGCCCAGCCACCCAUCCAGGCCGGCUGUGAGCCCUGCUGGCGCUGCCCGAGGAGCCGCUGCGGCCUCGGUAGCGUUCAGCGAGUGAAACGCAGGAGUUGAGGAGCCUCACCUCGCUUGCUGACAGCCCAGGCUGAGUGCAGGGCUGCUGCCCUGGCUGUGCCCGUGUCCCUUCUCCUCCCCUCGGAAAGGAUGAAUUGCCACAGAACUGGACAGAGCUUGAGUGGGAUUCACCAUUUGGUGCCUUUUUUAAUCAUCUCUGCGCUGCACUCAUGCUAAGCCAUGACAGUACGUUUCCUGGCAACUUCCAGUAAUUUUAUCUGGCUCUUGCUUUCAGCCAUUUCUGUGAGACAAAUGAGUUAUAAACUGCUGGAAUAAAGCCUUUUUUAAUUAAAAAAUGCUUCGCAAAUAGACAUUCUUUACAAUUUUUAUCCCACCAUGUUUAGCUUAGAACAGAUCUCUCAU